RNAcentral lists this unclassified non-coding RNA (1387 nucleotides) under Camponotus floridanus (Florida carpenter ant). Its description in RNAcentral is "dolichyldiphosphatase 1, transcript variant X1". The record is from RNAcentral. Lineage: Eukaryota; Metazoa; Arthropoda; Insecta; Hymenoptera; Formicidae.
GUUUAGUAGGCAGGUAGACUGUAAUAGCGACGAUCGAGCGUGGUUUAUGCAGUCGCGGAUGUAAAUACAACAUCCCUCCUUCCUGUGCGCGUCCAUUCGCCACGCGAGACAUGCCGCUUCGAGGAUUGCGAUAACAUGGCAUCGUUCGAAGAGUUGGAUGAGAUCGCGCCGAGUUUCGCAUAUGCCGCCGACAAGCUGGAAUGGAUCCCGCUCUCUCUGACAUUGGUGGAGUAUCCGCAAGGGGAUCUCUUUGGAAAGCUGUUAGCUGCAUUAAGUCUAUUACCCUUUGCUAUUGUAGCUGGUUUUAUCACAUUAAUACUAUUUAGGAGAGAUUUACAUACUAUUGUAUUUUUUAGCGGAAUUAUUAUCAAUGAGUGUAUAAAUUUUGUAUUGAAACACACGAUUUGCGAAGAGAGGCCGAUAAAGAGAGAUGGCCUGUAUACCGAAUAUGGUAUGCCAUCUACACAUGCACAAUUUAUGUGGUUCUUUGCUGCAUAUGCGACACUUUUUAUAUAUUUUAGGUUAAACUACAACUGUACAAUAGCUGAGAGAUUUUGGCGGACAAUAGUAGCAGUAGGAUGCAUUACCACAGCCAUAUUGGUAACUUACAGCAGAGUAUAUCUACAGUAUCACUCAAAUAGCCAAGUAUUCUUUGGUGUAUUAAUUGGAGUUGCACUGGGAACAGCAUGGUUCAUGAUCGUGCAUACGGUUUUAACGCCAUUCUUUCCUAUAGUGGUUUCGUGGCGAAUGUCGGAGUACCUGCUGUUACGCGACACAACUUUAAUUCCUAACGUUUUGUGGUUCGAGUACACGAGUAUUCGCACGGAAGCCCGAGCGCGGGCGCGAAAGCUAUCGGCAAUCGGCAGAUCGCACUGAUAAUGGCUGGUCAGUGGGCUGGAUAUUGAAUAAUAAAUGCCUUGAUAACAAACAACUUAAGAAAACAUUCCUUUAAUUGAUAAAGUUUGAAAAAAUUAGCUCGACAACGCGUAUGGAAUAAAUAAUUAAGUUAAGAUUAAAAUGUUAAUGAGGAAUGCACGCGUUUUUCCUUCUAUAAUUAAUUCGGUUAAAUCAAGAUUCAAAAUUGAAAACACAACAAUUAGUUAACAGUGAGUAGCCGCAGUGAAAAAAAUCAAGUUUUUCGACAAUAUAAGUUUACUCGACAAAUACGCUGGAGAAUGAAUUAUCGUAAAGCUUUGACAGAUUUUUGACAAAUUUUUCCAGAGUAUUUGUCAAAAUUUCAAAUCCAAAAAUUCAUGUUUAGUACAUGUUUAUAUACAUUGUAUGAGAUAUUUAUUUUCCAAGAAUAAUGAAAGUGAUAUUAAUUGACAGUGCAUUUAAUUACAAGCAACUGUUUAGUGGAAUGCAAUAAAGAGCGUCGUGAAAAGUA